RNAcentral lists this small nuclear RNA (23 nucleotides) under Arabidopsis thaliana (thale cress). RNAcentral's name for it is "snRNA_08174". Lineage: Eukaryota; Viridiplantae; Streptophyta; Magnoliopsida; Brassicales; Brassicaceae. The record is from RNAcentral.
UCAGUUUGAAAAUCACACUUUUU